Molecule: small RNA, 121 nt
Filed under: Candidatus Berkiella aquae
Lineage: Bacteria; Pseudomonadati; Pseudomonadota; Gammaproteobacteria; Candidatus Berkiellales; Candidatus Berkiellaceae
Description: Legionella-like amoebal pathogen HT99 t44 RNA
Rfam family: t44 RNA
About the family: This family consists of a number of bacterial RNA genes of between 135 and 170 bases in length. The t44 gene is found between the map and rpsB genes in all species in the full alignment apart from Shigella flexneri.
Source: Rfam by way of RNAcentral
UGUAAUUAGUAUAAAACACACACAUGUGUCGACACAUCGUCCGGGGUGCUUUAAGAAUACUCGAAUCCUUACGGUAAGGGUACUGCUUGGAGUCGGAGGAUGGGACGCAUGGAGGAUUAAC